RNAcentral lists this ribosomal RNA (429 nucleotides) under Chloroflexota bacterium. RNAcentral's name for it is "Chloroflexi bacterium partial 16S ribosomal RNA". It matches the Rfam family "Bacterial small subunit ribosomal RNA", at positions 355 to 776 of the family's 1533-position model. Lineage: Bacteria; Bacillati; Chloroflexota. The record is from RNAcentral.
UGGGGAAUAUUGCACAAUGGGCGCAAGCCUGAUGCAGCCAUGCCGCGUGUAUGAAGAAGGCCUUCGGGUUGUAAAGUACUUUCAGUCGGGAGGAUGGUGUCAAGGUUAAUAACCUUGGCAAUUGACGUUACCGACAGAAGAAGCACCGGCUAACUCCGUGCCAGCAGCCGCGGUAAUACGGAGGGUGCAAGCGUUAAUCGGAAUUACUGGGCGUAAAGCGCACGCAGGCGGUCUGUCAAGUCGGAUGUGAAAUCCCCGGGCUCAACCUGGGAACUGCAUUCGAAACUGGCAGGCUAGAGUCUUGUAGAGGGGGGUAGAAUUCCAGGUGUAGCGGUGAAAUGCGUAGGGAUCUGGAGGAAUACCGGUGGCGAAGGCGGCCCCCUGGACAAAGACUGACGCUCAGGUGCGAAAGCGUGGGGAGCAAACAGG